This 290-nucleotide long non-coding RNA is filed under the name Meriones unguiculatus (Mongolian gerbil). Its description in RNAcentral is "lncRNA (ENSMUGG00000001811.1)". The record is from RNAcentral. Lineage: Eukaryota; Metazoa; Chordata; Mammalia; Rodentia; Muridae.
GCGGGGGGCCAGCCGAGCCCGCCGCAGCGCCCACCGCCAGACGCCGGCGGCCCGCGGGCGCAGCGUGACCCGAGAGUGUAUCCCAUCAUUCAAACAGAAAGUUUACUAGAAAACAGUGUGCUGUUUGUACCAGAAGCAGCCUCAUUCCUCUGCAACUCCUGAUUACAUCAUUUCCUCUUGUGCUUGAUAUCGGCUCACUUUAUUCAUCGCAGCUCUCGGAGCUACUGCCACACAUAUACACCAGAGUGCAGUGUGUCAAGCCUGGCAUGGAGAAGUCAAGGUGUGGCUAA